Molecule: long non-coding RNA, 735 nt
Organism: Mauremys mutica (yellowpond turtle)
Lineage: Eukaryota; Metazoa; Chordata; Testudines; Geoemydidae
Exons: 3
Source: RefSeq, a predicted model, not a curated record
CAAGAAUUUCAGUGUCUAAGCAGCAUUUUAUUACAUAAACAGAGGAAAUACUAAUAUCAAAUUAAGGAGGGAGAGUGUAUAGGUCACAGACACCAUUUAUGGAACUUCAUUUGUUCUUGGCUUCAGACUGGAGCUUUCAGCUGCCUGAUUCUUCAUUACAUUACACCACAUGAAAACUGAGAAUUAGGUUGAGAAUUUGGAAGAGGAAGGAAGCUUGGAUGAAAGUGAUCAUGAAAUGACAGAGUUCAUGAUUCUAAGUACUAGUAGGAGGGGAAACAGCAGAAUAAAGACAAAGGACUUCAAGAAGGCUGACUUCAGCAACCUCAGAGAAUUGGUCACAUGCAGCGAGUACAAUGGAGGAGAUGUUACAGAUUGGAGUCUGCUGUCCAAACGCAUGGGAAGAACGUUUUACCAUGUUCAUUUCCUGCCUCAGCUUUUGACAUUUAGAUUAUUCCAGAGGUAGAAUUAAUCUGUACAGGGAAGGAGCAGAAUCUUCCUGAGCAGCUGGAUUAUGGGUUCAGAACAACACUCCAUUUGCAGUGCUCACUGUGUGGUUUUUUUUAAUAGAAAAACCAGCGUCAGGCCUGAAUUGGGGAGUCAGGCAACAAAAACCCAUUGCAACUGAAUGGGGAUUGAUAUUAGUUUUUUAAAAAAUGCAUUAAAAACAGACAGACACUUUGCAGAUAUAUUUUGGUUUCCUUCCACUCAAUGCAGUUUGGAGAGUGUGGCAUAUUA